This 99-nucleotide signal recognition particle RNA is filed under the name Anaerolineaceae bacterium. Its description in RNAcentral is "signal recognition particle sRNA small type". It matches the Rfam family "Bacterial small signal recognition particle RNA". From Rfam's summary of the family: The signal recognition particle (SRP) is a universally conserved ribonucleoprotein involved in the co-translational targeting of proteins to membranes. Archaeal SRP consists of a 7S RNA and homologues of the eukaryotic SRP19 and SRP54 proteins. In most bacteria, the SRP consists of a 4.5S RNA and the Ffh protein (a homologue of the eukaryotic SRP54 protein). Lineage: Bacteria; Bacillati; Chloroflexota; Anaerolineae; Anaerolineales; Anaerolineaceae. The record is from RNAcentral. RNAcentral also lists the same sequence under 2 other names.
GACUGGGUCCCUGGCGGCAGGAGCCGUCGAACCGCGUCAGGUCCGGGAGGAAGCAGCGCUAAGGCGUACCUCCUGGGUGCCCAGGAUCGCCUGGUCGCC